UCCUUGGUGGUCUAGUGGCUAGGAUUUGAAGCUUUCACUGCCAUGAUCCCGGGUUCGAUUCCCGGUCAGGGGA
RNAcentral lists this transfer RNA (73 nucleotides) under Erinaceus europaeus (western European hedgehog). It matches the Rfam family "tRNA". Rfam says of the family: Transfer RNA (tRNA) molecules are approximately 80 nucleotides in length. Their secondary structure includes four short double-helical elements and three loops (D, anti-codon, and T loops). Lineage: Eukaryota; Metazoa; Chordata; Mammalia; Eulipotyphla; Erinaceidae. The record is from Rfam by way of RNAcentral.